RNAcentral lists this ribosomal RNA (1127 nucleotides) under Clostridioides difficile. RNAcentral's name for it is "bacterial LSU rRNA". It matches the Rfam family "Bacterial large subunit ribosomal RNA", at positions 1466 to 2602 of the family's 2925-position model. Lineage: Bacteria; Bacillati; Bacillota; Clostridia; Peptostreptococcales; Peptostreptococcaceae. The record is from RNAcentral.
GGGAUGACACAGUAGGAUAAGCUAAGCACACUGUUGGUUAUGUGUGCCCAAGCAUUGAGGCAGUCAAAGUAGGCAAAUCCGCUUUGAUAAUGCUGGGAUGUGAUGGGGAGCGAAAUUUAGUAGCGAAGUAGCUGAUUUCACACUGUCAAGAAAAGUCUCUAUCGAGGUUAAAGGUACCCGUACCGCAAACCGACACAGGUGGGUGAGGAGAGUAUCCUAAGGCCAGCGAGAGAACUGUUGUUAAGGAACUCGGCAAAAUGACCCCGUAACUUAGGGAUAAGGGGUGCCACCAUCAGGUGGCCGCAGAGAAUAGGCCCAAGCGACUGUUUACCAAAAACAUAGGUUUCUGCUAAGUCGCAAGACGAUGUAUAGGAGCUGACGCCUGCCCGGUGCUGGAAGGUUAAGGGGAUCUGUUAGAGCAAUCGAAGCAGUGAACUUAAGCCCCAGUAAACGGCGGCCGUAACUAUAACGGUCCUAAGGUAGCGAAAUUCCUUGUCGGGUAAGUUCCGACCCGCACGAAAGGCGUAACGAUUUGGGCACUGUCUCAACAACAGACUCGGUGAAAUUGUAAUUCCGGUGAAGAUGCCGGAUACCUGCGACAGGACGGAAAGACCCCAUGGAGCUUUACUGUAGCUUGACAUUGGGUCUUGGUACUACAUGUACAGGAUAGGUGGGAGGCUUUGAAACCAGGACGCCAGUUUUGGCGGAGCCAUCCUUGGGAUACCACCCUUGUAGUACUGGGACUCUAACCAUAGGCCAUGAAUCUGGUCUUGGGACACUGUCAGGUGGGCAGUUUGACUGGGGCGGUCGCCUCCCAAAAGGUAACGGAGGCGCUCAAAGGUUCUCUCAGUACGGUCGGAAAUCGUACGUAGAGUGUAAAGGCAAAAGAGAGCUUGAUUGCAAGACAUACAGGUCGAGCAAGGAUGAAAAUCGGACUUAGUGAUCCGGUGGUUCUGCGUGGAAGGGCCAUCGCUCAACGGAUAAAAGCUACCCUGGGGAUAACAGGCUUAUCUCCCCCAAGAGUCCACAUCGACGGGGAGGUUUGGCACCUCGAUGUCGGCUCAUCACAUCCUGGGGCUGUAGUAGGUCCCAAGGGUUGGGCUGUUCGCCCAUUAAAGUGGUACGCG